Molecule: transfer RNA, 72 nt
Filed under: Sphaerodactylus townsendi
Lineage: Eukaryota; Metazoa; Chordata; Lepidosauria; Squamata; Sphaerodactylidae
Description: tRNA-Thr
Rfam family: tRNA
About the family: Transfer RNA (tRNA) molecules are approximately 80 nucleotides in length. Their secondary structure includes four short double-helical elements and three loops (D, anti-codon, and T loops).
Source: RNAcentral
GGAGCUGGGGCUCAGUGGGAAAGCAUCUGCUCGGUGCGUAGAAGGUCCCAGGUUCAAGCCCUGGCAUCUCCA